UGGUAAGACAGAAUGCUAACGCACUUCAAAGCUCCCGUUACAUAAUUCAAAGGGAGUUUAGAAGCUUGCUUUAUUUAUCUUAAAUUAUUCACAGCAUAAGUCUUUAAAAUAUUUAAACUCCAAUACCGUCAAAGGAGAAUGCUGAUGGAGUGUCUUCUCCGGAGAAAGCAGCCAUAAGGACUCGUGGGCCAACGCAAGCAUCGAGGGUGCUCCCCCAUGCUCCACUUUCUGGACCAAGGAAUGCUUUCCUUUAGGGAUCAAGUUUUUGCCGAAUGAGAUUAAUUUUUUUUUUAAAUGUUGCUCCUGAGGAGGAGCCUUUAGCAGGACAUACGAAGAUGUGAGGAAGUGGAAAUGUCCUUCCUUCCAUAGCUAAUGAAACCACUCAUUAGCAGAACACCGGGGUGCUACUAGCGAGACACUCGUGCAGCUGGCACUCAUUCUGAGGAGGAUGAUUCAUUACCAUGGUUACUGGUGCUGGAAAUAUUACCUUCCGCAAUCAGCAUGCGCACUGAUCCUUUAAGAGAGUGUAAAAAUCAGAGCACUGUAAACAAUUAGUGAAAAUCGUCAGCUGCUCUGGGCUGAGCUUACACAAUGCUACCCUCAGGGCAUAAAAGCAGAGGGAGGAGACUGAACCGGUGCAUUUUCCAGAGGUAUGCCUGGAGGUGUGUUUCCUGGGUGAUUUCAGAUCCUGUCAGGUUGGCAAUCAACAGAAACCAUCACGUUUACAGACAAAAUUCAGAAACCAAAGCUCAAGAACCAAGUUUCAUGUGCUAAUAUCUCAAGAGCUUCAGAAAGUCUUAUGCACAAUAAGAUGCCAGAGAGACGUUGUGGCUAACACCUAUAAUCCCAGCACUUGGAAGACUGAGGCAGGAGGAUUGUGGUACAGAGAAAUCCAGCCCCACAAUGCAAUCAGGAAACGAGUACAGCUAUACAGCAGUUGGACACGCAAGCUGUGAGAAAAUGAUAUCUAUUUUUAUGUGCCUAUUUCAUUACUGUCUAUGGGUCUGAUAAAGUUAAGCUUUUCUGUGUUUUUAAAUGCUGUGAUUGAACCCUGGCAUCAGUAUUAGGACUCUGAUCAGCUUGGCUGCAAGUUCGGGGCCUCUCAGACCCUCCACUCAGGUUUGAAAAUUCGCCAGAAUGACUAAGAGGAGCUCCGAGGGAACUACAUAUGCUACUGCAGUUCUAAAAAUGGACACAUGCCAGGGCAGCCCCUCUCAGGAAGGAAGGCCACAUAACCCCAGGACACUGGAGUGCUCUCCAACUCCGAAGCUCAGGGCUGGUUGACAUGUGAGCUCACGGAUUGUGGCAGCAUACCCAGGGCCUGCCUGCAAGGGUCUGUACCAGAUAGUAAGCAGCAGAAGUGAGCAUCUCUAACCAGAAGCUAUCUCCAACUGAUAGCCAUUCACAAGUGAACAAUUACCUUUCUCCAAUGGCCUCGAUGCGUAUAUUGAGCCAUGCCCAGCAAUAAAUGGGCAACACCAGUUGAAUCAAUGGUAGAAGACUUUCCCUCUUGGAGUGUUUUGUUCUGCCAUUUUUUUGUCUUACUGGUCUCUUUUGCUUGUCUAUGGUUUCUGAUUUUGUGGACUUUAUGGAUUUUGUUUGCUGUUGUGUGUUUCUUAUAUUAUGUCUCUCUUAUAUUUUU
This 1642-nucleotide small RNA is filed under the name Rattus norvegicus (Norway rat). RNAcentral describes it as "uncharacterized LOC102553536". The record is from RNAcentral. Lineage: Eukaryota; Metazoa; Chordata; Mammalia; Rodentia; Muridae.